AUGGCGUACCAACACGAGUUUCCUGCCAUGCCGAUGAGCAACAAUGUUCCUAUGAUGGUCCAGCAGCCAUACACGCCGUACUUCGGCCAAGAGUUAUUUCCUGUUGUUUUGAGGCAACACAAGAUGGGCAUCGACCAUGUACUUCAGAACCAGCAUUACAUGUCGCACCAUCAACCCUACUUCCCACAACACUCCAUGUCGCACCAUGGGUACACACAAAGGAUGCUUGCACUAGGUUUUCCAAUCCCCCAUGAGUUGGACAGUGAUGCUGUUCCCGAUUCAUCUUCUUUAAGAAAAAAUACAUUGGGUGAAUUUUUUACUACGCUUAAGACCCUUGAAAAUGGAAUCCAGAAGGACGUCAAUCAAGCAACGAUGGUGAAUAAAACAACCAACUUUAAGAAGAAGGACAAGUCAAAGAAAAAAGGCAAGUCCAAGGUGCCCAAUAAGGCUGGUACACCUGGAAAGUCUAAGAAGAUUGGCGCCACUGCUGAUGCCGAGUGCUUCUUUUGUAAGGAGAAAGGUCACUGGAAGAGGAACUGCAAGAAGUAUUUGGUAGAAAAGAAGAAUUCUGCAAAUUCCAGCCACAGUAUGAGUGUCAUACAUGGGCUUGAUGUAUUUCUUGCUAAUUCAUAG
This 633-nucleotide ribosomal RNA is filed under the name Triticum aestivum (bread wheat). RNAcentral describes it as "partial small subunit ribosomal RNA". The record is from RNAcentral. Lineage: Eukaryota; Viridiplantae; Streptophyta; Magnoliopsida; Poales; Poaceae.